UACUGCGACACCAGGCCCCAGGUUCACUUACCGAAAAAACCGACCAAAUACAGCAGCGAAAACACAUUCAGCGACGUUUCUCCUGCGACCAGUCGACGCAUCAUUGGAUCCGAAGGCAUGAGCAGAGGAAUUUAAUAUCCAGUUGCUGUGCCAGGUACCACCCAGCCCAAGGUGUGGAGAGCAGGGAGAAAUGACAGCCUUCUCUUUCUUCUUCAAUUUGAUUGCACAGGGAGCAUACAGUUUCUGAUCUGUGGUGUGGCACUCACAGAGCAAGUUCACAUGCUUGCAUUUCUCAAAAUGUGUCUUGGUUUCACCGCUCAGUCCGCCUCAUCGUCUGCGACUCGCAGGUCUCUCAGUUGUCUGGAAAGUGGACUCGUGAUCAAAGCAUCAGGCAGACCGAAGGCCAGUACGUGAUCCACAUGACGAGAGAAAUUUGUGAAAGGAAAACGUUCUUACUGGCCAGGACAUUUAAGUGUAGAGUUCCUGGGAAGUCUAGCUCUUCCCCACAGCAGCACACCCACCUCAUGCUUUUCUGACACCACACAGGAAAUCAAGCUUCAAGAACUCACAGACCCGGUCUGCAGGAACAGAAUGGUAUCAUUAAGCUCCUGCACCCCUGGGAAGGAGAAGACACUUUAUGUGUUCUUGCAGUAUGUUGUGCUGUACUGGCAUUGUUGCACUGAGAAAAUAGUAAAAAAAAAAA
Fundulus heteroclitus (mummichog) is the source of this 703-nucleotide long non-coding RNA. RefSeq lists it as uncharacterized. The transcript has 5 exons. The record is from RefSeq and is a predicted model, not a curated record. NCBI's taxonomy places the organism in Eukaryota, Metazoa, Chordata, Actinopteri, Cyprinodontiformes, Fundulidae.